Molecule: ribosomal RNA, 409 nt
Filed under: uncultured bacterium
Lineage: Bacteria
Description: bacterial SSU rRNA
Rfam family: Bacterial small subunit ribosomal RNA
Source: RNAcentral
UGGGGAAUAUUGCGCAAUGGGGGCAACCCUGACGCAGCAAUACCGCGUGAGUGAAGAAGGUUUUCGGAUCGUAAAGCUCUGUUAUUGGGGAAGAAGAAUGACGGUACCCAAUGAGGAAGUCCCGGCUAACUACGUGCCAGCAGCCGCGGUAAUACGUAGGGGACAAGCGUUGUCCGGAAUGACUGGGCGUAAAGGGCGCGUAGGCGGUCUAUUAAGUCUGAUGUGAAAGGUACCGGCUCAACCGGUGAAGUGCAUUGGAAACUGGUAGACUUGAGUAUUGGAGAGGCAAGUGGAAUUCCUAGUGUAGCGGUGAAAUGCGUAGAUAUUAGGAGGAACACCAGUGGCGAAGGCGGCUUGCUGGACAAAUACUGACGCUGAGGUGCGAAAGCGUGGGGAGCGAACAGGAUUA